GCCAGAGUGGUGUAGUGGUUUGAGCAUUGGACUAUGAUUCUGGAGUUCAGGGUUUGAAUCCUCGCUUGGCCA
This is a non-coding RNA of Phrynosoma platyrhinos (Desert horned lizard), 72 nucleotides long. The record is from the annotation of a GenBank genome assembly. NCBI's taxonomy places the organism in Eukaryota, Metazoa, Chordata, Lepidosauria, Squamata, Phrynosomatidae.